RNAcentral lists this ribosomal RNA (263 nucleotides) under uncultured bacterium. RNAcentral's name for it is "partial 16S ribosomal RNA". It matches the Rfam family "Bacterial small subunit ribosomal RNA", at positions 793 to 1055 of the family's 1533-position model. The record is from RNAcentral.
GUCCACGCCCUAAACGAUGCGAACUGGAUGUUGGGUGCAACUUGGCACCCAGUAUCGAAGCUAACGCGUUAAGUUCGCCGCCUGGGGAGUACGGUCGCAAGACUGAAACUCAAAGGAAUUGACGGGGCCCGCACAAGCGGUGGAGUAUGUGGUUUAAUUCGAUGCAACGCGAAGAACCUUACCUGGUCUUGACAUCCACGGAACUUUCCAGAGAUGGAUUGGUGCCUUCGGGAACCGUGAGACAGGUGCUGCAUGGCUGUCGU